UUGCCUGUAUUAACCAUAUAUUUCUUUUAUCUUUUUGUAAGACCAAAGAAGAUGUCGGAUCUAUUGUACCUGUUUCAGAUUUUAACAUUCUUUUGUAGUGCAACGAUGUUACCCAAUUCGCCAACUGGGUUCGUUAAGGAUACAUCUUCUGGCUCUGCCCCCCCAACUAGGCACUGAUUUGGGAUUUGAAAUUUGAUCAUAAUCAUAAUAUAUUUUGUGGAUAAAUUUAGGAAGAAUAUAUUUGGUUAAGCAUAACAUAAUAUUUCUUAGGUCUUGUUGUUUUUAUAGAGAGUUUUGGAACGGUUUUGCUUUAGAAUUUUAUUUCCUUUUUAAGUAACAUGACCUUUUCUCAUUCACAGCUCAAGUUGGAAACUGCAAAACAUUUCAGUGCAUUUUUUAUAACAUGUAAUUUGAAGUAUUAUCACGCUUUUUCCAAACGAAAUAUAGUGGAAUAGGAAAAAUAAACUCAGAAAUAAAGUAUUUUAUUUUAACCUUUAUCUAAUUAUGGAAACAAUGGUGUCCUUAAACACUUUUUUGUGAUGAUUGAGAGCUAUUAUGAUACAGCUAUUAAUUUUUUGAAGGGGACAUGUUUUUUUAUGUAGUAUUGGUAAUUACUUGUAUCAAUUUAAUACUCUAAUUUAUUUUUGGGUUGUAAUUUCACUUUUAUUUUUAUUUUUGCUUAAAACUUAAUUGGCAUGGUUAAGGUAUCAAAAAUGUUAGCGAAUAUUAUUUUGUAAUGAUCAAGAUUUGUAAGUUUUCUUUAUUCAUAGACGCUUAUUAUUUAAAAAACCUUUAUCUAACCAAUUUAGAAAGAAAGAAAGAAAAAAGUUAGAAUCGUCAAAAUUUUAUGUCUAGUCAAUUUGUGGAGAAUUUUUUUUGGUUAGGAUCUCUUUUAACAUUUGUAUGAAUAGGAUUUGCAUUUAGGAAGACUAAAGUUAUUCGACGUGUCAUCUAACGAAUCUUUAUCUGUUAUUUUUAAAUAAUAAUAAAAGGAAUGGACAGAGACUUAAGACUACAGAAUAUGAUUAUUAGCCUAAGAGAAAUAUGGUUCACCAGCUACACACGUGUGAAAUGAAAGUUGCUACAUUUUUCCAAUUGAGAUCGUUGUGUUAAUGUUAUAUUGGGUAUUACUAUUUCACACUAGUAGUGCCUAGCAUUUUUUGUAGGUGGCGUUUUACGAUUAGUUAAUAAUAUUGCCUAAGACUCGAUAUUUAAUUACACCAAUAACGAUAUGACAUCAAGGAAGAUGUUAGGUAUCAAUGGUACCUUUUAAUAAUUCUCGUUAUAUUAUUCAAGUGAGAAACAUUAGAAGAUGGUGUUUUAACAAAUAUAAUAGGUGUUAUAUCAGUAUAAUUUUAAUUUGAUAAAAGUCUAAUUAGGAUUUUUGCGUCAAAAUUUUUCCUUAACAAUAUUGAUAUUGUUGGAUUAAAAAAUUUUCUUCUAAUUUUACUAAUAGAUGUUUGACGUGAAUGAAAUUUCAGAAACACAGUUUGAUAUAGGUCAAAGUUUGGUUAUAAUUUGAUACAUAUCAAAGUUUGGGGAUACGAUCUGAUAAAUGUCAAAGUUCGAGAGUAGUACAUGGAGAAUCGUCACGUUAGUAAAAUUGAACGGAAGUCUUUAAAUCAAAAAUCUUAAUAAUUUGGAGAGAACUUUUAACAGCCUAAAAAAUUUUAAGGGUAUAAUUUAACACAUGUUAAAAUUUGAGGGGUAAAAUUCUUAAUUAGCCUUUAAUAUAUCACUAUAGAGUCUCGCUAAUUACAUAUAAAGUUUUACUUCCUGUGGUAAUAAUCAAUUUAAGUAUUUAAUAAUAAUGUCUUCUAUAUAAAUAUAAAUAGUAUAACAAUCUAAUUUGGUAACAACAUAAAGAAAGAGUGAAGUUUAAAAUUUUCUUUCUGGUCAUGCCAAUUUAGUUCAAAUUAAAGUUCGCCCCAUUAUUGAUCUUCUUGGUGGCAGUAGAACUAGUUCAGGUUCAAAGCUCUCCAAGUCGUGGAGAUGACAGUUAUUCUCUCCACCAUUAAUAACCAUAAAAACAAAUGUAUAUGUUGACAGUAAAAACUCGUUAAUUAUUUAUAGUAGACAAUUAAAGCUUAAAUAUGAGAUCAAGAUUGGAGAUGAAAUCUUAAGAAACUUAGAGACAUGUAGAGCUUUAAUGGUGAAAAUAAGUAUUCUAUUACUUUCAUAUGCUUGUAGUUAUAAUGAUUUUUCACUCCCUCUCUCACAUAUGGCAAUGAAGUAUUUAUAGGCUCUAUUGACUUUGGGUACAAAAGUGGUAAUAGGAGACACCCUACUACUAGGUACUCUUAUAAGUGCAGGUAGCAGGGUACUAACGAUCGAGGUGUCAGGUGUUCCAGGGUGGUGGCGAUACCACUACUUUUUAGAUGGAGAGGUCAGGAGGGUACAUAUUGUGGGAUGGUGUUAUUAAGCUAAAUUUAGUUUACGUUUUAAGUGUCGUGAUCAUUGUCUUUUUAAUCGAUUGUGUCUUUUUGGAGAUGAUUUAUUCUUGUUUUACUUGAUUUCAGGUUUAAGCAUAUGCUUGGGCAUUUUUGGAGAGGAUUGUGAAGAAAAUAUGCUAAAAUAAAAGUUUAUUCAAAUUUGUGCUGAAAUUAUAUUAGGGUCGCGACGAGAAACAAAGCACAGAUUGGGAGUCAAAUUCCCAAACUGAAUUAUGGCCGCAACGUGCGCCUUUACAGAAACUUUGAAAUUUCCCUAAUCAAAGUGGCACCACAGUGCAAGUGUCUGUACGACAUACGUUUUUCUUAAAUUUUGAAGGGAAUUUUUGGAAUUUCAACAAGAAAAUGAAUUAGGUGAUGUUGGAGGAUGAAAAUACUCACCAAAAUAAUGUUUUCCUAGAGUUUUGAAAAUCCAUGAAGAUCCAAAAUUUGAGAUUCGGCACUACAGUGAAGGUUAGAGGUUCGUUGCAGCGAGCUUAGAAGAAAUUCACUGGCAAGGGGUUAUGGCUACGACGAGGAGAUUGUGGCUGCGGCAAAAGGUGAAGCUCGCCGUGACGAAGACAUGAUUCUUGCUUUUCAAAAUUUUAUCUUUUUCUUUAAAUUGUAGAUCUUUGAGGGGAUAUAUAUAGGACCUUUAGGGUUCGAUUUUUAGCACCUUUGAACUGCGUUUUUGAGAGAGAAACUCAAAUAAAGAGAAAAAGAAAAAGAAAGAGAUUGCGGAACCAAUUAUUUUUCAUCAUUGUUUUUUAUUCUUCUUAAUGUCAUACUUUUAUUAUGAUUUC
Long non-coding RNA from Cannabis sativa, 3232 nucleotides. RefSeq lists it as uncharacterized. NCBI's taxonomy places the organism in Eukaryota, Viridiplantae, Streptophyta, Magnoliopsida, Rosales, Cannabaceae. The record is from RefSeq and is a predicted model, not a curated record. The transcript is spliced from 2 exons.